Molecule: transfer RNA, 65 nt
Filed under: Stichophanes ningshaanensis (Ningshaan kukri snake)
Lineage: Eukaryota; Metazoa; Chordata; Lepidosauria; Squamata; Colubridae
Description: tRNA-Met
Source: RNAcentral
AGGUAGGGUCAGCUAAACAAGCUAUCGGGCCCAUACCCCGAAAAUGUCAAUAUCGACCCCUACCA